CUAGCGGCGGACGGGUGAGUAAUGCUUAGGAAUCUGCCUAUUAGUGGGGGACAACAUCUCGAAAGGGAUGCUAAUACCGCAUACGUCCUACGGGAGAAAGCAGGGGAUCUUCGGACCUUGCGCUAAUAGAUGAGCCUAAGUCGGAUUAGCUAGUUGGUGGGGUAAAGGCCUACCAAGGCGACGAUCUGUAGCGGGUCUGAGAGGAUGAUCCGCCACACUGGGACUGAGACACGGCCCAGACUCCUACGGGAGGCAGCAGUGGGGAAUAUUGGACAAUGGGCGCAAGCCUGAUCCAGCCAUGCCGCGUGUGUGAAGAAGGCCUUAUGGUUGUAAAGCACUUUAAGCGAGGAGGAGGCUACUUUAGAUAAUACCUAGAGAUAGUGGACGUUACUCGCAGAAUAAGCACCGGCUAACUCUGUGCCAGCAGCCGCGGUAAUACAGAGGGUGCAAGCGUUAAUCGGAUUUACUGGGCGUAAAGCGCGCGUAGGCGGCUAAUUAAGUCAAAUGUGAAAUCCCCGAGCUUAACUUGGGAAUUGCAUUCGAUACUGGUUAGCUAGAGUGUGGGAGAGGAUGGUAGAAUUCCAGGUGUAGCGGUGAAAUGCGUAGAGAUCUGGAGGAAUACCGAUGGCGAAGGCAGCCAUCUGGCCUAACACUGACGCUGAGGUGCGAAAGCAUGGGGAGCAAACAGGAUUAGAUACCCUGGUAGUCCAUGCCGUAAACGAUGUCUACUAGCCGUUGGGGCCUUUGAGGCUUUAGUGGCGCAGCUAACGCGAUAAGUAGACCGCCUGGGGAGUACGGUCGCAAGACUAAAACUCAAAUGAAUUGACGGGGGCCCGCACA
This 840-nucleotide ribosomal RNA is filed under the name Acinetobacter nosocomialis. RNAcentral's name for it is "bacterial SSU rRNA". It matches the Rfam family "Bacterial small subunit ribosomal RNA", at positions 92 to 927 of the family's 1533-position model. The record is from RNAcentral. Lineage: Bacteria; Pseudomonadati; Pseudomonadota; Gammaproteobacteria; Moraxellales; Moraxellaceae.